Molecule: non-coding RNA, 30 nt
Filed under: Mus musculus (house mouse)
Lineage: Eukaryota; Metazoa; Chordata; Mammalia; Rodentia; Muridae
Source: RNAcentral
UUCCAAUGGAAUCCUGGUUGUCAUAUCCUA